Long non-coding RNA from Cyprinus carpio (common carp), 1255 nucleotides. NCBI's taxonomy places the organism in Eukaryota, Metazoa, Chordata, Actinopteri, Cypriniformes, Cyprinidae. The record is from Ensembl.
GCAGGUGAGAUGUUGAAUUCCACAGGUGUGCUUUAUCUAAGCCCUACUGUUCUCCAGGUGUGUCUUGAACACAUUUCUUUGAUAUGAAUUAAGGAGGGGUGACAUGAGGAUAGGUGAGUAGGGGAACAUGGGCUCCAUGGCUGAAAUAUUUAGAUUGCUACAUUAUCCUUAAAUUACCCCAUUAGAGGUCCCUGCAUGCCAUUAAGUUGUUAAAGUUCUGUCCCACUGCUAAACCUUGACCAAGAGCGUGUGGUAAGUAGAAUCACCAUUUCAUCUUUCCUUAUAACCCCAAUCUAUCUCUUGUCGGAGUGGGUAUAUCUUUUCCAUUGUGUAAACCUGAACUGAGUCAUUUUGUUUCCAUUGAGUCUCCAGCUGAGUUAAUGUGACCCUUACCUGGGGAGUCGGCACGAGACCUAGUUUGACUUGCCCUACAAUGGCCAACUCAACUGAAGAAAAGCAGAAAAAACAGUUCCCACAGUCUUUGCGGUGAGUGACGCUACAACCCUGACCAAGCCAUCACCACCUCCCCUGCUGGAGCCAAAACAGACUCCUAUUGAUGAAGGAAAAUGGAAACCCCUCAUCAUGAAGCACUGGAGCUCUUGAGUUUGAGAUGAACGCACUGGAGGAAACCCUGAGGGAAUGAUUAAUUAAAUGAACCCUACAUGCCUCAAUUCAAGCCCUGCGAGAAGACAGAACUUGAGUGCAUAUUUUCUGACCAUGGCAGAGAUCAUGAGACGGGAUCCUUUGUGAAGACUAAACAUUGGCAACUGUUUUCUUUACAACUUACCCGCACAUUUCAGUCUAACAAAUUUAUACUGAAAAUUAAUUUGACAGUGCAGUGACAUCAGGUUCCACCUGCCAUCAUUUGCUGUGUGAGAACACCACUUCUCAUAUUAAAACUUGUAAAUGCAGGAUCUAUAGAUUAAGUGUGGACUAUUCAGGCUUUGUGCCACCUCAGAUGUUGAUGGAGAUGGGUGGGAAGGAAAUGAGAAAGAUCAUUCAUUUCCCAGCCAUAACACACCACACAGAUCAUACAUUAACACUUCUGGAUCAUUAAGUUCAAAUAUGGUAACCGGAUUUAAUAUAACGACUGUUUUGAUUAGUUGUUCCUGUUUUUAGUGUCAAUUACACAUGGGGAAAUUAAUAUUAUGCUUUAAAAUGUGAUAUUAUGGUGUAAUGGUGAAUUUAAUGUUUAUAUUAGUUGCUGAGUGAGAUAUGUAAUAAAUAUGAAUGAAUGAUUUAAAACUAAAAUGAU